Molecule: non-coding RNA, 103 nt
Organism: Apiotrichum porosum
Lineage: Eukaryota; Fungi; Basidiomycota; Tremellomycetes; Trichosporonales; Trichosporonaceae
Source: the annotation of a RefSeq genome assembly
GCUUCUAUCGUCUAGAUGGUUAGGACGUAGGUCUCAUAGGUACAACUGUGAGCUCGAAUUACGAGUAGAUCCUGCAACCAGAGUUCGAGUCUCUGUGGAGGCA